UCACCUUCCAUGCUUUGACGUUCACAAUAGAUGGGUGUCAUUUAGCUAAACGCUGCAUCCAAUAUACGCAUAUUUAAUGAAUCUAGUGUCUCCAUGUUUGUUUCCGCAGUAAUUACAACAAAGGGUUGUUGUUAUAGUAACAGUCCAUCCAAGGGAGAAAGAAAAUUACCUUCAAAAUUUGGAGUUCGUGUUUUUCUUUGACAGGCUCAGCGCUCUUCUCUUCCUCCGCCAUCUUCUCUAACGCUGAGGGCAGCAGACUGCUGCAAGAAGAGGCUACGAACUUGGUGCCACUAACAAAAUACGCUUUAAAAGUUACGAGAUUAACAAUAAAACAUGUGUUAUUAAACGUA
Nerophis ophidion (straightnose pipefish) is the source of this 350-nucleotide long non-coding RNA. RefSeq lists it as uncharacterized. NCBI's taxonomy places the organism in Eukaryota, Metazoa, Chordata, Actinopteri, Syngnathiformes, Syngnathidae. The transcript is spliced from 2 exons. The record is from RefSeq and is a predicted model, not a curated record.